This 662-nucleotide long non-coding RNA is filed under the name Parus major (Great Tit). RNAcentral describes it as "lncRNA (ENSPMJG00000001594.1)". The record is from RNAcentral. Lineage: Eukaryota; Metazoa; Chordata; Aves; Passeriformes; Paridae.
CACCAGAAAAAGCUUUUGCAUCAUCUCCAGAGCCAGGAGCUGCUGCCUCACACCGGAGCACUCUGGAUCUGUCUCCCAGAAAUUCAGUGUCUGCCCAGCAACAUCCUGCCCUGAAGGAGAGAAGUUCCCAGCCCCUGCCAAGGAUCAACAUCAAGAACAUGUCCCACAGAGACAAGGCCACACAGCAGCUUCCAUGUGUCAGCAUUCCCACCAAGUCCUUCCAACAGGCAGCCCAAAUUCAGCUCCUCACACACAUAGAGUUACGGAGAAAUUGCUGUCUAACAGAUCCUUUGUGGACUUCCGACCAAAACCAUCCAGUGCAACAAAUGAACACAGGACAGUCAGAAGGGAAGGGGUAGCCAGCUGACCAAAUCCCAGGCUCAUCCAGGCACCAUCUCCCACAGCAUCAUUCAGGAACUGAGGUACGGAUUUAUUUCCUGCGCACAGACAUGGUGGAUGUAGCUUUGAACUAUUCUGACUCCACUUGCUGUGGAUGGGUCCCCAGCCCCUAAAGAAGUGGGGAUUUCGCGAGAUUAGUGCUCACUGAUUAGAUGUGACUUGGAUGAGUUUACACAGCGCACGGGGGUAGCAUUUUCAAAGGUGGCUGCACACUCCUUUGGCUCUUCCCUGAGGUUUAACUUUUCCUCCGGGUCCAUCCCGCG